GAUGACCUACGGGGCGCAGCAGUGAGGAAUAUUGGUCAAUGGUCGGGGGACUGAACCAGCCAAGCCGCGUGAGGGAUGAAGGUACAGAGUAUCGUAAACCUCUUUUGUCAGGGAACAAAGGCGGGGACGCGUCCCCGGAUGAGUGUACCUGAAGAAAAAGCAUCGGCUAACUCCGUGCCAGCAGCCGCGGUAAUACGGAGGAUGCGGGCGUUAUCCGGAUUUAUUGGGUUUAAAGGGUGCGCAGGCGGUCUGUUAAGUCAGCGGUCAAAGCCCGGGGCUCAACCCCGGUCCACCGUUGAAACUGG
RNAcentral lists this ribosomal RNA (305 nucleotides) under uncultured bacterium. Its description in RNAcentral is "bacterial SSU rRNA". It matches the Rfam family "Bacterial small subunit ribosomal RNA", at positions 333 to 636 of the family's 1533-position model. The record is from RNAcentral.